GUCAAUUAUAAGAGUGGAGAAUGUAGUGGUAUAUAACUAAGUACUUUAAAGUUAGCAUGGUUAUGUGUCAUGAAGAGAGAAAAUCAUGGUAGUAUAACUAGCAAUUUUUUAUUAUGCUUGGACGUAUAGCUCUAAGAACCUAAAGGAAAUUAUUAGAUUAGGUGGCAAAAUCCUUCAAGAGUUAUUUCUUAAUAUUAGGAAGUAAUCUUGUACGUACAUUCAACCAAAGAAUAAAACAAGGAAAGUGGUUAAUAGUUUGAAUAAUAUAAGGGUCAAGUUUAUAAUCGUGUACAUGCAUGCACACAUCUUUCUCAACUAUUUGAGAUAAAUCCUCCACCUUUGCAUCAUGCGGCAACCGAAAUAGCAACAAGGAAACUUUAGGAUGCCAUGUGCCAUUUUGUGGGUUAUUAAUUCAUUUUAAUUGUUUAACUCUAGUUAAUUCAUUUUUAUUUCUAAUACCAUAAAAAUCAAGCAACCUCACACCAUAUUUCUUUUUCUCUCUCUCGUUUGCCCAUUCUUCAUAUUACCAAAAUCAUAUAAAGUACUACAGCUCAUAUGCUAAGGUUCAAGGGUACAUACAAGGGUUUUCAGCUAGAACAUUAAAUAAAGGAUAUAAGGUAUUGUUCGAGUUGGUUUUCCUCUAAAGGUUUUAAGUGCAAUCAAAAGUUUCUCCACAUUCGAGGCAAUAGACAGGGAACAUGGAAUAUAAGUUUGAAAAGCUGGGUCAGUCUGGUAUGUAUACUGCGAGGGGCUAUGGACGAGUAAACGGUCUAGAACGCCGGUGGAGCCUUGGUUUUGUUUUUUUUUAUAUAUAGUAAAAUAUUCUGAGCUCAGUGGGAUGUUGUAAAUUUAUUUUAAAAAUGCACUCAACUACUUAUUUUGUUUUUAAUAUGAAUGAUCAUUCGCCUUUUUACACAUUUAUUAAAAACCCGCUGUGUAUUUCCAAACAGUUUUGAAUCUUUUCAGUUUAUGCAUCAAAGUUAGUAUUUUGUGAAGUAAGGCAAAUAAAAUUUGGGGCGUUACAUUUAACCACUUACCUUAAUGGUUUUUCACCCUUGCUAGAAAUUCAUGAAAUUUUUCAAACAUUUUAAAUUUCUUUUGCUUAAGGUAAAAUCUAGAGUGAUCGUUUUAAGAAUAUAACGAAAAACUCAUAUCCACCCCUGAAUGUACAUCCAUCUACAAAUGAGAUGAACUACUUUCAGUGGAUAUAGGCAUAUUAACUCUUUGCAGAGAUUGAUCUUGUCAAAACCACUAUGAACAAGAUAC
Molecule: long non-coding RNA, 1266 nt
Organism: Cannabis sativa
Lineage: Eukaryota; Viridiplantae; Streptophyta; Magnoliopsida; Rosales; Cannabaceae
Exons: 3
Source: RefSeq, a predicted model, not a curated record